CCCAAGGCAGUGUGGAAACACAAAAGGACGUGGCGCAGCAGCAAUAAAUCAGAUGCAGGAGAAUGGCCAUGUCAAAAAUCUCCUGCCUACGACGGUCUGAGUGCCAGAGCCCAGCGUGGUCCGACGGUGCCCUCUGUGGAGGGGCACACGGUUGUCAUUGGAGAGUGCAGCUUAUCCAUUGGUUUCAAAGGAGACUCCUUCUCCCGCCCCCAGUCACCCUCACACGAGAGGGAAGGAGAGGGAGGAAGAGGGAGGGAGAGGGAAGGGGAGGGAGAGGGAAGGAGAAUAAAAGAGUGUGGGGGGAGAUGGGGGGAGGGAAGAAGAGGAAGCCUGAGCAGGGAGGGUAGAGGGUGGGGAGGGGAAGAGAUGGGGUGGGGAGAGCCAGAGAGGCUGGGCUUUUGGAGCUGUAGCAGCCGCAGGGAGUUGUGGGAGCUGAUUCCCAGCCGCUUGGAAUUGCUCUGCCCAGAAGGGCUCACUUUUUUUUUCCUCUUUGAAAUUCUGAAAUUGAUGGGAGAUUCAAAAAAAAAAAAAAAAAAAAAAAAUCC
RNAcentral lists this long non-coding RNA (545 nucleotides) under Homo sapiens (human). RNAcentral's name for it is "non-protein coding lnc-IRF8-7:1". Lineage: Eukaryota; Metazoa; Chordata; Mammalia; Primates; Hominidae. The record is from RNAcentral.